RNAcentral lists this ribosomal RNA (329 nucleotides) under uncultured eukaryote. RNAcentral describes it as "partial 18S ribosomal RNA". It matches the Rfam family "Eukaryotic small subunit ribosomal RNA", at positions 1470 to 1796 of the family's 1831-position model. The record is from RNAcentral.
CCCUUAGAUGUUCUGGGCCGCACGCGCGCUACACUGACGAUGGCAACGAGUUUUUCCUUCGCCGAAAGGUGUGGGUAAUCUUUUGAAACAUCGUCGUGCUGGGGAUAGAUCAUUGCAAUUUUUGAUCUUGAACGAGGAAUUCCUAGUAAGCGCGAGUCAUCAGCUCGCGUUUAUUACGUCCCUGCCCUUUGUACACACCGCCCGUCGCUACUACCGAUUGAAUGGUUUAGUGAGGACUCCUGAUUGGCGCCGCCGCCCCGGCAACGGAGCAGCGGACUGCCGAAAAGUUGUUCAAACUUGAUCAUUUAGAGGAAGUAAAAGUCGUAACA